UACGGAGGGGGCUAGCGUUAUUCGGAAUCACUGGGCGUAAAGCGCGUGUAGGCGGUCUAUAAAGUCAGAGGUGAAAUCCCGGAGCUUAACUUCGGAAUUGCCUUUGAAACUCAUAGACUAGAAUCUGGUAGAGGAUAGUGGAAUUCUUAGUGUAGAGGUGAAAUGCUUAGAUAUGACAUAGAACACCAAUUGCGAAGGCAGCUGGCUACACGAAUAUUGACACUGAGGCACGAAAGCGUGGGGAUCAAACAGG
This 253-nucleotide ribosomal RNA is filed under the name uncultured bacterium. Its description in RNAcentral is "partial 16S ribosomal RNA". It matches the Rfam family "Bacterial small subunit ribosomal RNA", at positions 524 to 776 of the family's 1533-position model. The record is from RNAcentral.